CUCAUGUUGCGGUCUUAUAAAAAGAGGUAAGCAUUACGUCAUUAAUUUUAAUGAACUUGAGUGCGUGGGGGACGGAAAUCGUUAAACUUAGGAUUUUUUCUUGUUUAUAACAUAAUAUUUUCUGCAAAAUGCAAAAUCAAACCAUCCAAUCUUAAAUUAUUGAAGCAGAACAACUA
Molecule: non-coding RNA, 176 nt
Organism: Caenorhabditis elegans
Lineage: Eukaryota; Metazoa; Nematoda; Chromadorea; Rhabditida; Rhabditidae
Source: Ensembl